AAGGGUAUAGCUCAGUGGUAGAGCGUGUGCUUAGCAUGCACAAGGUUCUGGGUUCAAUUCCCAGUACCUCCA
Molecule: transfer RNA, 72 nt
Filed under: Camelus bactrianus (Bactrian camel)
Lineage: Eukaryota; Metazoa; Chordata; Mammalia; Artiodactyla; Camelidae
Also listed under: 2 other names
Rfam family: tRNA
About the family: Transfer RNA (tRNA) molecules are approximately 80 nucleotides in length. Their secondary structure includes four short double-helical elements and three loops (D, anti-codon, and T loops).
Source: Rfam by way of RNAcentral